Gossypium raimondii (Peruvian cotton) is the source of this 142-nucleotide non-coding RNA. The record is from Rfam. Lineage: Eukaryota; Viridiplantae; Streptophyta; Magnoliopsida; Malvales; Malvaceae.
UGUUAAAAUAUUCUUCUAUUUGUACUGUUUAAAAUUAGCAUACAUGACUGAAAAAUCAAACAGUGGCACAUGAUGUGCCAUAUGAACAUCAUGUUGAUGCACAAAAAUCUUAUAACAGUAGAAAUGAAUGAAAAAUUUAACA